Molecule: unclassified non-coding RNA, 353 nt
Filed under: soil metagenome
Description: partial contains 5.8S ribosomal RNA, internal transcribed spacer 2, and large subunit ribosomal RNA
Rfam family: 5.8S ribosomal RNA (bases 1-120)
Source: RNAcentral
GAUGAAGAACGCAGCGAAAUGCGAUAAGUAAUGUGAAUUGCAGAAUUCAGUGAAUCAUCGAAUCUUUGAACGCACAUUGCGCCCGCCAGUAUUCUGGCGGGCAUGCCUGUUCGAGCGUCAUUACAACCCUCAGGCCCCCGGGCCUGGCGUUGGGGAUCGGCGGAAGCCCCCUGCGGGCACAACGCCGUCCCCCAGAUACAGUGGCGGUCCCGCCGCAGCUUCCAUUGCGUAGUAGCUAACACCUCGCAACUGGAGAGCGGCGCGGCCACGCCGUGAAACACCCAACUUCUGAAUGUUGACCUCGAAUCAGGUAGGAAUACCCGCUGAACUUAAGCAUAUCAAUAAGCGGAGGA